GCCUGGCUGGCUUAGUUGGUAAAGUAUGUGACUCUUGAUCUCGGGGUUGUGAGUUCAAAACCCCACUUUGGGUG
RNAcentral lists this transfer RNA (74 nucleotides) under Canis lupus familiaris (dog). It matches the Rfam family "tRNA". Rfam says of the family: Transfer RNA (tRNA) molecules are approximately 80 nucleotides in length. Their secondary structure includes four short double-helical elements and three loops (D, anti-codon, and T loops). Lineage: Eukaryota; Metazoa; Chordata; Mammalia; Carnivora; Canidae. The record is from Rfam by way of RNAcentral. RNAcentral also lists the same sequence under 2 other names.